Molecule: transfer RNA, 66 nt
Filed under: Ornebius kanetataki
Lineage: Eukaryota; Metazoa; Arthropoda; Insecta; Orthoptera; Mogoplistidae
Description: tRNA-Ile
Source: RNAcentral
UACAAGAUGCCUGAUAAAAAAGGGUUAUCUUGAUAGGAUAAAUCAUGUAAUAAUUUACUCUUGUUA